Molecule: ribosomal RNA, 492 nt
Filed under: uncultured bacterium
Lineage: Bacteria
Description: partial 16S ribosomal RNA
Rfam family: Bacterial small subunit ribosomal RNA
Source: RNAcentral
AGUGAACGCUGGCGGUAGGCCUAACACAUGCAAGUCGAACGGCAGCACAGUAAGAGCUUGCUCUUACGGGUGGCGAGUGGCGGACGGGUGAGGAAUACAUCGGAAUCUACUUUUUCGUGGGGGAUAACGUAGGGAAACUUACGCUAAUACCGCAUACGACCUACGGGUGAAAGCAGGGGAUCUUCGGACCUUGCGCGAUUGAAUGAGCCGAUGUCGGAUUAGCUAGUUGGCGGGGUAAAGGCCCACCAAGGUGACGAUCCGUAGCUGGUCUGAGAGGACGAUCAGCCACACUGGAACUGAGACACGGUCCAGACUCCUACGGGAGGCAGCAGUGGGGAAUAUUGGACAAUGGGCGCAAGCCUGAUCCAGCCAUACCGCGUGGGUGAAGAAGGCCUUCGGGUUGUAAAGCCCUUUUGUUGGGAAAGAAAAGCAGCAGGUUAAUACCCCGCUGUUCUGACGGUACCCAAAGAAUAAGCACCGGCUAACUUCGUG